AGCAGCCGCGGUAAUUCCAGCUCCAAUAGCGUAUAUUAAAGUUGUUGCAGUUAAAAAGCUCGUAGUUGAAUUUCGGGAUUUGCACAUCGGUCGUGCCUUAAGGGGUAUGAACUGGUGUAGUCAAUUUCUCACCUUCUGGAGAACCGCGAUGCCCUUAAUUGGGUGUCACGGGGAACCAGGACCUUUACUUUGAAAAAAUUAGAGUGUUUAAAGCAGGCAUUUUGCUUGAAUACAUUAGCAUGGAAUAAUAAAAUAGGACGGCAUGAUUCUAUUUUGUUGGUUUCUAGGAUCACCGUAAUGAUUAAUAGGGAUAGUUGGGGGCAUUAGUAUUCAAUUGUCAGAGGUGAAAUUCUUGGAUUUAUUGAAGACUAACUACUGCGAAAGCAUUUGCCAAGGAUGUUUUCAUUAAUCAAGAACGAAAGUUAGGGGAUCGAAGACGAUCAGAUACCGUCGUAGUCUUAACCAUAAACUAUGCCGACUAGGAAUCAGACGAUGUUAAUUUUUUAAUGACUCGUUUGGCACCUUACG
RNAcentral lists this ribosomal RNA (528 nucleotides) under uncultured Glomeromycotina. RNAcentral describes it as "SSU rRNA". It matches the Rfam family "Eukaryotic small subunit ribosomal RNA", at positions 569 to 1092 of the family's 1831-position model. The record is from RNAcentral. Lineage: Eukaryota; Fungi; Glomeromycota.